UGUUGAUCGAUGAUGAAUUGAAAAACUGCGUUAUCUAUCUGUAAAUUCCGAAAAGGAAUUGAAGAUAAUCUUAUUGUUUAAUUGAGAUCAGCU
Molecule: non-coding RNA, 93 nt
Organism: Daucus carota subsp. sativus
Lineage: Eukaryota; Viridiplantae; Streptophyta; Magnoliopsida; Apiales; Apiaceae
Source: Rfam